Molecule: long non-coding RNA, 470 nt
Organism: Pogoniulus pusillus (Red-fronted tinkerbird)
Lineage: Eukaryota; Metazoa; Chordata; Aves; Piciformes; Lybiidae
Exons: 3
Source: RefSeq, a predicted model, not a curated record
UUGCUCACAGUCGUUGGAGAGCAGCCCUUCAGAAUGCUGCUUCUCAUUUCUUGGUCCCUCCCAGUAAGAAAUGUUUCUGGUUAGCUAAGGGUCACAUUUUCUGGAGGGACUGCAGUGUCCUUCCUGUGCUGGCAGGGAAGCAGAGCGGUGGGAAAGAGGCAGCAGCAUGCUUUUGCACUGAGGUUCGAGGGAAGGAAACCAUUAUGACUCCAUCAGUUUGCAGAGCAGUUUGCUUCAAGCUGGUGAGGAAAAUCCUCUUCUCCUGAGUGUGCAGCUAUGGUGUUGAAGCAGGACUCUUCCCUGGAGGUGUCCAUGGGCUGUAUUUAGAGAUCGAAGCACUGGAGAGCUGGGAAGAACUCUGCCUAGGCUUGUGCUGAAGGCUCCUUGGAGAAAGCAAACCCAUGGAGUCCUGUGUGCUGGUGACAAGCACCAUCUCAGCAGGUGGCAAAGCAGCAGCCAACUGAACCUGA